This 495-nucleotide ribosomal RNA is filed under the name uncultured Glomeromycotina. RNAcentral describes it as "partial small subunit ribosomal RNA". It matches the Rfam family "Eukaryotic small subunit ribosomal RNA", at positions 591 to 1092 of the family's 1831-position model. Lineage: Eukaryota; Fungi; Glomeromycota. The record is from RNAcentral.
CCAAUAGCGUAUAUUAAAGUUGUUGCAGUUAAAAAGCUCGUAGUUGAAUUUCGGGGUUCUACCGUUGGUCGGGCUUUGUCUGUACUGGCGUGUAGAAUUUCUACCUUCUGGGGAACUAUCAUGUUAUUAAUUUAACGUGGUGGGAAACCAGGACCUUUACCUUGAAAAAAUUAGAGUGUUCAAAGCAGGCUUAUGUCUGAAUACAUUAGCAUGGAAUAAUAGAAUAGGACGGUGGUCCUGUUUUGUUGGUUUCUGAAUCACCGUAAUGAUUAAUAGGGAUAGUUGGGGGUAUUAGUAUUCAAUUGUCAGAGGUGAAAUUCUUGGAUUUAUUGAAGACUAACUUCUGCGAAAGCAUUUGCCAAGGAUGUUUUCAUUAAUCAAGAACGAAAGUUAGGGGAUCGAAGACGAUCAGAUACCGUCGUAGUCUUAACCAUAAACUAUGCCGACUAGGGAUCGGACGAUGUUAACUUUUCUUGACUCGUUCGGCGCCUUACG